Molecule: ribosomal RNA, 373 nt
Filed under: uncultured organism
Description: partial 16S ribosomal RNA
Rfam family: Bacterial small subunit ribosomal RNA
Source: RNAcentral
GUAGGUGGCAAGCGUUGUCCGGAAUUAUUGGGCGUAAAGCGCGCGCAGGUGGUUCUUUAAGUCUGAUGUGAAAGCCCCCGGGCUCAACCGGGGAGGGUCAUUGGAAACAGGGGAACUUGAGUGCAGGAGAGGAAAGUGGAAUUCCACGUGUAGCGGUGAAAUGCGUAGAUAUGUGGAGGAACACCAGUGGCGAAGGCGACUUUCUGGCCUGUAACUGACACUGAGGCGCGAAAGCGUGGGGAGCAAACAGGAUUAGAUACCCUGGUAGUCCACGCCGUAAACGAUGAGUGCUAAGUGUUGGGGGGUUUCCGCCCCUCAGUGCUGCAGCUAACGCAUUAAGCACUCCGCCUGGGGAGUACGGUCGCAAAGACUG